UGACGGUACCUGGAGAAAAAGCCACGGCUAACUACGUGCCAGCAGCCGCGGUAAUACGUAGGUGGCAAGCGUUGUCCGGAUUUACUGGGUGUAAAGGGCGUGUAGGCGGAGUAGCAAGUCAGAAGUGAAAUCUAGGGGCUCAACCCCUAAACUGCUUUUGAAACUGUUACCCUUGAGUAUCGGAGAGGCAGGCGGAAUUCCUAGUGUAGCGGUGAAAUGCGUAGAUAUUAGGAGGAACAUCAGUGGCGAAGGCGGUUUACUGGACUGUAACUGACGCUGAGGCGCGAAAGCGUGGGGAGCAAACAGGAUUAGAUACCCUG
This 320-nucleotide ribosomal RNA is filed under the name uncultured bacterium. RNAcentral's name for it is "bacterial SSU rRNA". It matches the Rfam family "Bacterial small subunit ribosomal RNA", at positions 470 to 789 of the family's 1533-position model. The record is from RNAcentral.